CAGCCGCCACGGGAAUACGUAGGUGGCAAGCGUUGUCCGGAAUUAUUGGGCGUAAAGGGCUCGCAGGCGGUUUCUUAGGUCUGAUGUGAAAGCCCCCGGCUCAACCGGGGAGGGUCAUUGGAAACUGGGAAACUUGAGUGCAGAAGAGGAGAGUGGAAUUCCACGUGUAGCGGUGAAAUGCGUAGAGAUGUGGAGGAACACCAGUGGCGAAGGCGACUCUCUGGUCUGUAACUGACGCUGAGGAGCGAAAGCGUGGGGAGCGAGCAGGAUUAGAUACCCCCGUAGUCCCUGUCUCUUAUAC
This 301-nucleotide ribosomal RNA is filed under the name uncultured bacterium. RNAcentral's name for it is "partial 16S ribosomal RNA". It matches the Rfam family "Bacterial small subunit ribosomal RNA", at positions 509 to 807 of the family's 1533-position model. The record is from RNAcentral.